UACCAACCCGAUGCAAACUGCGAAUACCGGAGAAUGUUAUCACGGGAGACACACGGCGGGUGCUAACGUCCGUCGUGAAGAGGGAAACAACCCAGACCGCCAGCUAAGGUCCCAAAGUCAUGGUUAAGUGGGAAACGAUGUGGGAAGGCCCAGACAGCCAGGAUGUUGGCUUAGAAGCAGCCAUCAUUUAAAGAAAGCGUAAUAGCUCACUGGUCGAGUCGGCCUGCGCGGAAGAUGUAACGGGGCUAAACCAUGCACCGAAGCUGCGGCAGCGACGCUGAUGCGUUGUUGGGUAGGGGAGCGUUCUGUAAGCCUGCGAAGGUGGCCUGUGAGGGUUGCUGGAGGUAUCAGAAGUGCGAAUGCUGACAUAAGUAACGAUAAAGCGGGUGAAAAGCCCGCUCGCCGGAAGACCAAGGGUUCCUGUCCAACGUUAAUCGGGGCAGGGUGAGUCGACCCCUAAGGCGAGGCCGAAAGGCGUAGUCGAUGGGAAACGGGUUAAUAUUCCCGUACUUGGUGUUACUGCGAAGGGGGGACGGAGAAGGCUAUGUUGGCCGGGCGACGGUU
RNAcentral lists this ribosomal RNA (564 nucleotides) under Salmonella enterica. Its description in RNAcentral is "partial 23S ribosomal RNA". It matches the Rfam family "Bacterial large subunit ribosomal RNA", at positions 937 to 1503 of the family's 2925-position model. RNAcentral also lists the same sequence under 1 other name. The record is from RNAcentral. Lineage: Bacteria; Pseudomonadati; Pseudomonadota; Gammaproteobacteria; Enterobacterales; Enterobacteriaceae.